GACGAACGCUGGCGGCGUGCUUAACACAUGCAAGUCGAACGGAAAGGCCCUGCUUUUGUGGGGUGCUCGAGUGGCGAACGGGUGAGUAACACGUGAGUAACCUGCCCUUGACUUUGGGAUAACUUCAGGAAACUGGGGCUAAUACCGGAUAGGAGCUCCUGCUGCAUGGUGGGGGUUGGAAAGUUUCGGCGGUUGGGGAUGGACGCGCGGCUUAUCAGCUUGUUGGUGGGGUAGUGGCUGACCAAGGCUUGGACGGGUAGCCGGCCUGAGAGGGUGACCGGCCACAUGGGGACUGAGAUACGGCCCAGACUCCUACGGGAGGCAGCAGUGGGGAAUAUUGCACAAUGGGCGGAAGCCUGAUGCAGCAACGCCGCGUGCGGGAUGACGUCCUUCGGGUUGUAAACCGCUUUCGCCUGUGACGAAGCGUGAGUGACGGUAAUGGGUAAAGAAGCACCGGCUAACUACGUG
Molecule: ribosomal RNA, 468 nt
Filed under: uncultured bacterium
Lineage: Bacteria
Description: partial 16S ribosomal RNA
Rfam family: Bacterial small subunit ribosomal RNA
Source: RNAcentral